CUGGCGGGAUCCUUUACACAUGCAAGUCGAACGGCAGCAUAGAGAGCUUGCUCUCUGAUGGCGAGUGGCGAACGGGUGAGUAAUAUAUCGGAACGUGCCCAGUAAUGGGGAAUAACUAGCCGAAAGGUUAGCUAAUACCGCAUACGACCUACGGGUGAAAGCAGGGGAUCUUUUGACCUUGCGUUAUUGGAGCGGCCGAUAUCUGAUUAGCUUGUUGGUGGGGUAAAAGCCUACCAAGGCAACGAUCAGUAGCUGGUCUGAGAGGACGAUCAGUCACACUGGAACUGAGACACGGUCCAGACUCCUACGGGAGGCAGCAGUGGGGAAUUUUGGACAAUGGGGGCAACCCUGAUCCAGCCAUCCCGCGUGAGUGAAGAAGGCCUUCGGGUUGUAAAGCUCUUUCGAAAGUGAAGAAAACUUAUUUCGUAAUAUGUUAUAAGUAUGACGGUAACUUUUAGAAGAAGCACCGGCUAACUACGUGCCAGCAGCCGCGGUAAUACGUAGGGUGCGAGCGUUAAUCGGAAUUACUGGGCGUAAAGCGUGCCCAGGCGUUUUGUAAGUCAAAUGUGAAAUCCCCGAGCUUAACUUGGGAACUGCGUUUGAACUACA
RNAcentral lists this ribosomal RNA (609 nucleotides) under uncultured beta proteobacterium. Its description in RNAcentral is "bacterial SSU rRNA". It matches the Rfam family "Bacterial small subunit ribosomal RNA", at positions 36 to 637 of the family's 1533-position model. The record is from RNAcentral. Lineage: Bacteria; Pseudomonadati; Pseudomonadota; Betaproteobacteria.